Molecule: ribosomal RNA, 339 nt
Filed under: uncultured bacterium
Lineage: Bacteria
Description: bacterial SSU rRNA
Rfam family: Bacterial small subunit ribosomal RNA
Source: RNAcentral
GAUGAACGCUAGCGGCAGGCUUAAUACAUGCAAGUCAAGGGGUAGCAAUACAACCGGCGCACGGGUGAGUAACGCGUACACAACAUACCAUAUACUGGAGUAUAGCUUUGGGAAACUGAAGGUAAUCCUCCAUAACAUUGCGAGAGGGCAUCUGAUUGCAAUUAAAGUUUCGGCGGUAUAUGAUUGGUGUGCGUUUGAUUAGCUAGUUGGUAGGGUAACGGCCUACCAAGGCGACGAUCAAUAGCUGGCGUGAGAGCGCGACCAGCCACACUGGAACUGAGACACGGUCCAGACUCCUACGGGAGGCAGCAGUAGGGAAUAUUGGACAAUGGAGGAAAC